CCAAAUCAAUCUCUCAUCGAUCAAUCAUCCCAAAUCCCCCAAUCAAAGCCACCGUCCCGAGGACCGCUCCGGCGGCAGCGGCGGCGGAAAGCUUCCCGCGGCCGCCGCCUCGCCCCGCUCACCCCCAAGCCUUCCCCCUCCUCGUCCGACUCGCGCCGCACCCCGACGACCGCCGGUGGCAAGGAGAAGUCGGCGGCGUCCAAGCCGUCCAAGCCCACGUCGGUCGUGCGGUGGUCCACUUCGUGGAUCCCGAGGGCCCGAGCUCCGUGGAGUCCUCCAAGCUCGUCUAUACCCUCCGGGCUGCCGCCCGGGAGGGCCUCUGUCGGGAAGGACGCGGAGGCUGAGGCGGGCUUGCGGCGGAGCGUGGGCAGUGGGAUCAGGUCUGCUUCUUUAUUUUGUACUCCGUACCAUUUAUGUCCAUGUAUUUUUCCACUACACUGGAUUUUUACAUGUAUUCACCAAAACAUUGUUCAAACUCAGUUGCUGCCAUGUUCAUAAGCAUGCGCACUAUUUUCUUGGCAUCAAUCCCUAGACACAUACACAGAGAUUAACCAUCAACAAAAUUAAUAUCUUGUUAGUUGAUUAAUGGGCAUCGAUCUUCAAUCGGCAAUGAGGAUCCUUCUCCUCUCUUUCCUGAUCAUAAUGCCUCAGUUAGCUGUGCCCUGGUGAACUUGAUACAGUGCACCGUCUGAGCUUAUUCCAUCUUAAGAUCGGUAACACCAUGGUCUUCUGAAGUUAUGCUCUCUGAAGACUUUAUUACCACCUGUGUUCCAAAUCUAGCAGCAAGCACUACUAGGGUCAGGGACCCAUUCCUGGAACUCUGAUCCUAAAUUCCCCUGAUAAUGUGAGCCGUCAUACCCUUCUCUCCGUCUUAUCAAUCAGUUUCGAGUUCACGAAAUGGUAACGGGACAGUCUUUACUGCUCUGAACUUGCCAACAUUGUUCAAGUGUUCAUUCUCCAGCCUGCAAUCCAGUCAACCAUAUACCCGAGUUAUAAUAAAACACUAAACUAAACUAAAGUUAAUGAUUCCAGCUCUAUUCUAAUUUCAAAUACCUGUAGAAGUUCCAAUGCCCCCGCCGGAUUAUUUCUAAUGAGGCAAGUGAAAAGUCCAGCAGGCGAGUCUCCACCUUACCAACACGGAACUUCAUUACGCUCUCAGUCCAGGCCAGGCGAAGUAGUAGAUUGAGCACCUGCGUCGUGAAGGCAUUAGUACUCCUAAAG
Molecule: long non-coding RNA, 1221 nt
Filed under: Brachypodium distachyon (stiff brome)
Lineage: Eukaryota; Viridiplantae; Streptophyta; Magnoliopsida; Poales; Poaceae
Description: long non-coding RNA (BDIS_LNC004039)
Source: RNAcentral